Molecule: ribosomal RNA, 761 nt
Filed under: Prevotella nigrescens
Lineage: Bacteria; Pseudomonadati; Bacteroidota; Bacteroidia; Bacteroidales; Prevotellaceae
Description: bacterial SSU rRNA
Rfam family: Bacterial small subunit ribosomal RNA
Source: RNAcentral
GAUGAACGCUGGCUACAGGCUUAACACAUGCAAGUCGUGGGGAAACGGCAUUAUGUGCUUGCACAUUCUGGACGUCGACCGGCGCACGGGUGAGUAUCGCGUAUCCAACCUGCCCCUUACUUGGGGAUACCCCGUUGAAAGACGGCCUAAUACCCGAUGUGUUUCAUUGACGGCAUCCGAUAUGAAACAAAGGUUUUCCGGUAAGGGAUGGGGAUGCGUCUGAUUAGCUUGUUGGCGGGGCAACGGCCCACCAAGGCGACGAUCAGUAAGGGUUCUGAGAGGAAGGUCCCCCACAUUGGAACUGAGACACGGUCCAAACUCCUACGGGAGGCAGCAGUGAGGAAUAUUGGUCAAUGGACGCAAGUCUGAACCAGCCAAGUAGCGUGCAGGAUGACGGCCCUAUGGGUUGUAAACUGCUUUUAUGUGGGAAUAAAGUGGCGCACGUGUGCGCCAUUGCAUGCACCUCAUGAAUAAGGACCGGCUAAUUCCGUGCCAGCAGCCGCGGUAAUACGGAAGGUCCGGGCGUUAUCCGGAUUUAUUGGGUUUAAAGGGAGUGUAGGCGGUCUGUUAAGCGUGUUGUGAAAUUUAGGUGCUCAACAUUUAACUUGCAGCGCGAACUGUCAGACUUGAGUACACGCAGCGCAGGCGGAAUUCAUGGUGUAGCGGUGAAAUGCUUAGAUAUCAUGAGGAACUCCGAUCGCGAAGGCAGCCUGCGGGAGUGUUACUGACGCUUAAGCUCGAAGGUGCGGGUAUCGAACAGG